ACGAGAAGCAUACGUCUUCUCCAUAAGUGCACCAAUCAGAAAGGGGGCAAAACAACUUUCGCCAACCUCCAAAGCAAUGUGAAAGUGUUGAAGAUAAGGAAAUUUAGGCACAAAGAUCGUUCAUGCGCGAUCUCUUCUUCCUCGAAGACUUAUUUAAAUACUCGACCAAGGCUCAUUGCUAUGAAGAUUGCGAGAAACACCUCUCCAAGAUCGCUUCAAAGAAAUUGGACAAGCAGCAACCAUCUCAUUGACAAGUUCAUCAGUCGGAAAUGGGGCAAAGCAGUUCUUGUCAACCUCCAGAACAAUGUGAAAGUGUUGGAGAUAAUGAAAUUUCUACACAAAGAUCGUCCAUCCCCAUCACAAUGCGUGAUUUCUUUCCAGAAGACUUCUUCAAUUACUCAGUCAAGGCUUCUUGCUAUGAGGAUUGUGAGGAACGCCUCUACCAAGUCGCUU
This 453-nucleotide long non-coding RNA is filed under the name Malus domestica (apple). RNAcentral describes it as "long non-coding RNA (MDOM_LNC002576)". Lineage: Eukaryota; Viridiplantae; Streptophyta; Magnoliopsida; Rosales; Rosaceae. The record is from RNAcentral.